AAAUAAACUAGGGAUAGAUACCCUAUUAUUUUUAUUAAAUUAAAUUAAAUUUAAAUAUUAAAUGUUAAGCAUUAAAAAUAAAAAAUUUGGCGGUAUUUAMUAUUUAGAGGAACUUGUUUAUUAAAUUGAUAAUCCAGGAAUAGAAGAACUUAAUUUAAAAAUAUUUUUAUGUAUUGUUGUUGAAAAAUUAUAUUAAUAGAUAUUAAUUAAAAAAAUUAAUUAAAAUUAUAAUUCAAAUCAAAAUGUAGAAUAAUUAAGUGUWUAAUGAGUUACAAUUAAUUAAAUAAUWGAAUUUUAAWUAAUUUAAUUUAUAAAUGAAAAUGGAUUUAAAAGUAAAUUCAUAUAAAUUAUAGGUGAAUAAAAUUUAAA
Molecule: ribosomal RNA, 369 nt
Filed under: Camponotus sp. MG053
Lineage: Eukaryota; Metazoa; Arthropoda; Insecta; Hymenoptera; Formicidae
Description: partial 12S ribosomal RNA
Source: RNAcentral